RNAcentral lists this ribosomal RNA (301 nucleotides) under uncultured bacterium. RNAcentral's name for it is "partial 16S ribosomal RNA". It matches the Rfam family "Bacterial small subunit ribosomal RNA", at positions 509 to 809 of the family's 1533-position model. The record is from RNAcentral.
CAGCAGCCACGGUAAUACAGAGGUCUCAAGCGUUGUUCGGAUUCAUUGGGCGUAAAGGGUGCGUAGGUGGCGGUGUAAGUCUAACGUGAAAUCUCGGGGCUCAACCUCGAAAUUGCGUCGGAUACUGCAUUGCUAGAGGAUUGUAGAGGAGAGUGGAAUUCAUGGUGUAGCAGUGAAAUGCGUAGAUAUCAUGAGGAAGACCAGUUGCGAAGGCGACUCUCUGGGCAACUCCUGACACUGAGGCACGAAGGCUAGGGGAGCAAACGGGAUUAGAUACCCGCGUAGUCCCUGUCUCUUAUAU